This is a non-coding RNA of Vicia faba (fava bean), 285 nucleotides long. Lineage: Eukaryota; Viridiplantae; Streptophyta; Magnoliopsida; Fabales; Fabaceae. The record is from the annotation of a GenBank genome assembly.
AUGGCCAAAUCUUGCAAGGGAUUGGCCAUGGAGCUGGUGAAGUGUCUCAGUGAAUCUGAUUGUGUUAAGGUUGAGAAUAGAUCCUACAGGGAGUGUGCUGGAGAAAAGUGUCCAUCAAUAUCAAAUAAUGAGUUAACCACUUAUCUUGGAGAGAAGUUAGAGCAUAACAUGGAGAUAAAUGUUCGCAAGUGGUGGAAAGUAAAUUUUGGUCGUUAUCCCAUCCUUGCAAACAUUGCAAGAGACGUGCUUGCUAUACCAAUAAGCACAGUGGCGUCUGAAGCCUGA